GGAUGAACGCUAGCUACAGGCUUAACACAUGCAAGUCGAGGGGCAUCAGGAAGAAAGCUUGCUUUCUUUGCUGGCGACCGGCGCACGGGUGAGUAACACGUAUCCAACCUGCCCUUUACUCGGGGAUAGCCUUUCGAAAGAAAGAUUAAUACCCGAUAGCAUAAUGAUUCCGCAUGGUUUCAUUAUUAAAGGAUUCCGGUAAAGGAUGGGGAUGCGUUCCAUUAGGUUGUUGGUGGGGUAACGGCCCACCAAGCCUUCGAUGGAUAGGGGUUCUGAGAGGAAGGUCCCCCACAUUGGAACUGAGACACGGUCCAAACUCCUACGGGAGGCAGCAGUGAGGAAUAUUGGUCAAUGGGCGCUAGCCUGAACCAGCCAAGUAGCGUGAAGGAUGAAGGCUCUAUGGGUCGUAAACUUCUUUUAUAUAAGAAUAAAGUGCAGUAUGUAUACUGUUUUGUAUGUAUUAUAUGAAUAAGGAUCGGCUAACUCCGUGCCAGCAGCCGCGGUAAUACGGAGGAUCCGAGCGUUAUCCGGAUUUAUUGGGUUUAAAGGGAGCGUAGGUGGACUGGUAAGUCAGUUGUGAAAGUUUGCGGCUCAACCGUAAAAUUGCAGUUGAUACUGUCAGUCUUGAGUACAGUAGAGGUGGGCGGAAUUCGUGGUGUAGCGGUGAAAUGCUUAGAUAUCACGAAGAACUCCGAUUGCGAAGGCAGCUCACUGGACUGCAACUGACACUGAUGCUCGAAAGUGUGGGUAUCAAACAGGAUUAGAUACCCUGGUAGUCCACACAGUAAACGAUGAAUACUCGCUGUUUGCGAUAUACAGUAAGCGGCCAAGCGAAAGCAUUAAGUAUUCCACCUGGGGAGUACGCCGGCAACGGUGAAACUCAAAGGAAUUGACGGGGGCCCGCACAAGCGGAGGAACAUGUGGUUUAAUUCGAUGAUACGCGAGGAACCUUACCCGGGCUUAAAUUGCAGUGGAAUGAUGUGGAAACAUGUCAGUGAGCAAUCACCGCUGUGAAGGUGCUGCAUGGUUGUCGUCAGCUCGUGCCGUGAGGUGUCGGCUUAAGUGCCAUAACGAGCGCAACCCUUAUCUUUAGUUACUAACAGGUCAUGCUGAGGACUCUAGAGAGACUGCCGUCGUAAGAUGUGAGGAAGGUGGGGAUGACGUCAAAUCAGCACGGCCCUUACGUCCGGGGCUACACACGUGUUACAAUGGGGGGUACAGAAGGCAGCUAGCGGGUGACCGUAUGCUAAUCCCAAAAGCCUCUCUCAGUUCGGAUCGAAGUCUGCAACCCGACUUCGUGAAGCUGGAUUCGCUAGUAAUCGCGCAUCAGCCACGGCGCGGUGAAUACGUUCCCGGGCCUUGUACACACCGCCCGUCAAGCCAUGGGAGCCGGGGGUACCUAAAGUACGUAACCGCAAGGAUCGUCCUAGGGUAAAACU
This 1439-nucleotide ribosomal RNA is filed under the name uncultured organism. RNAcentral describes it as "SSU rRNA". It matches the Rfam family "Bacterial small subunit ribosomal RNA". The record is from RNAcentral.